GAUGAACGCUGGCGGCGUGCUUAAUACAUGCAAGUCGAACGGAAAGGCCCUGCUUUUGUGGGGCUCUCGAUUGGCGAACGGGUGAGUAUCACGUGUGUAACCCCCCCUUGUCUGUGGGAUAACAUCACGAAACUGCGGCUAAUACCGGAUAGGAGCUCCUGCUGCAUGGUGGGCGUCGGAAAGUUACGGCGGUUGUGGAUAGACUCGCUGCUUAUCAGCUUGUUGGUGGGGUAGUGGCUUACCAAGGUUUUGACGGGUAGCCGGCCUGAGAGGGGUACCGGCGACAUUGGGACUAAGAGACGGACCAGACUCGUACGGGAGGCAGCGGUCGAGAGUCUUACAGAAUGGGCGGGAGCGAGAUGAGGCGGCGCCGCGUGCGGAAUAACGGCUUACGGGUUGUAAACCACUUUCGCAGGUAACAAGGAGGGAGUGACGGUAACGGAUCAGAAAGCACCGGCUAACUACGUG
This 468-nucleotide ribosomal RNA is filed under the name uncultured bacterium. RNAcentral describes it as "partial 16S ribosomal RNA". It matches the Rfam family "Bacterial small subunit ribosomal RNA", at positions 28 to 507 of the family's 1533-position model. The record is from RNAcentral.